Molecule: transfer RNA, 78 nt
Filed under: Candidatus Bathyarchaeota archaeon
Lineage: Archaea; Thermoproteati; Candidatus Bathyarchaeota
Description: tRNA-Arg
Rfam family: tRNA
About the family: Transfer RNA (tRNA) molecules are approximately 80 nucleotides in length. Their secondary structure includes four short double-helical elements and three loops (D, anti-codon, and T loops).
Source: RNAcentral
GGGCCCGUAGCGCAGCCUGGACAGCGCGGCAGCCUCCGGAGCUGCAAGUCGAGGGUUCAAAUCCCCCCGGGCCCGCCA